AAUUUUGGACAAUGGGCGCAAGCCUGAUGCAGCAACGCCGCGCGAGUGAUGAAGGCCCUCGGGUCGUAUAGCUGUAUGUUCAGGGAUACUAAUGACAGUACCUGAAAAACAAGCCACAGCGAAGUACGUUCCAGCAGCCGCGGUAAUACGUAGGUUGCGAGCGUUGUCCGGAAUUACUGGGCGUAAAGGAUGCGUAGGUGGAAACUUAAGUUGGAUGUGAAAUCCCCGGGCUCAACCCGGGAACUGCAUUCCAAACUGGGUAUCUAGAGUGCAGGAGAGGAAAGCGGAAUUCCUAGUGUAGCGGUGAAAUGCGUAGAUAUUAGGAGGAACACCAGUGGCGAAGGCGGCUUUCUGGACUGUAACUGACACUGAGGCAUGAAAGCGUGGGUAGCAAACAGG
RNAcentral lists this ribosomal RNA (399 nucleotides) under uncultured bacterium. RNAcentral describes it as "partial 16S ribosomal RNA". It matches the Rfam family "Bacterial small subunit ribosomal RNA", at positions 360 to 776 of the family's 1533-position model. The record is from RNAcentral.